AUUUUAGCCAGGGCAUCUGGGUACCCCCCCCCACCCCCACUCUACUCUUACAAAAGAUGCCCAGGGACCUUUGAUGACCUCAGAGAGUCAGGACCUCGGUUUUACGUAUAAAAGUACGUCAUUCAGUUGUUGCUCAGGGCUAUCGUGGACCUCAGCCAGGAAGCAAGAGGCACAGCGGUGGGCAGAAGCCGCUGGAAAAUGAUCCGUGCGUCCAUAUGGAAGCAAGGCUGGCAGGCUCGUUGGACGAGUAUAUAUAGAUUGGAGGUGGUCAUUAUGGCAUCCUGACAGAAGACAAGAUUCCAGUUGCUUUCACUGAUGCACAGGGCUCUGGUUUAUUUCACACAAGUCAACUCUCCUUCGGCUGGUCUUGGAUCCGCAGGCUGUACAGGACUAGCGGCUAAAAUCCAUACAAAUUGAAAAGAAGUGCAUGAGUGGUUCUUAUUCAGGAGUGAUAUUCUGGGUGUUUUCUAAAGACAGCUUUUCCAUUUUACGUGAUGUUCUACAGGAAGGUUGUGAUCUAUCUGGUUAAAGGAGAUAAUGCAACAUUCGAGCUCAGUUUUUAUUUCCCAGAUAGUAGUGAAGUGUAAUAUCUGCCCUUCCAUCAAUUUCCAACCACUUAUUCAGUACAGGAGAGCCAGAAGCCUGCAGUCAAUCUGAGGAAGCAGAGCUGGGGAGCGGCUGGACAGAAUGGCAGUCCAGUACAGCACGCACACACCAGUGGCGGAGCCAGGAAAUAUUCAGUGGGGUAGCUGGGGCGGGACCAGAGGUCAUUUUGGGGCGGCACAUAAAUCAAAAUAUGAAUAUAAGGCAUCUAGAAAAUAAGGGAACAUUUAAGGCACAUAGACGCUAUAACUCUACAUUGUUUAUUAUUCAGGCAGUGGUGGAAUUAUCAAAUAAACAUUUAAUUUAAAUUCAAUUCCUUGCAGUUAAGGUAACAAGCGUACACUAAGCACAAGAUUCCCAAACGUCUGCAUUGCUGCCGUUCUGAGAGCAUGUUUAGCUCAGCUGUGCAGUGAGUUUAUUCCUUAUCAGUACAGUAAAUCAUGAACAGAGAAACAGGUACGGAGUAAAAGCAGUUUUUAAGUCAAAGUCUGAGUUAACCACAAAAAAGCAAAUAUGAAAGGGGUGGCCAAAGGGGGGGACAGAUUUCAGUCUAGGAGAACCACGGCCGGCUCUUGCCCCCCCGCUCCACGUAUGGCACACACAUUCACACUCUGGCCAAUUUAAAGUAUUAAUGUAAAUUUAUCAAGCUUCUCUGAGUUCCUGACCUGAGAGACCUGUCUUUUAUUGAUUUUGUUGUACAGGCAUUUCUUAGUAGAACAGCAAAUAUCACCACUACACCUAAAUCAUUUCUUCUAGUUGCCAGUUAUUACGUCUGAGUUUGUACGCAAAGUUCAUUUUGUACUUUAAAACGAUGCAUUAGAUUAGAUCAUGGAUAUUACAUUUGGAGAGACUACUCAUAGUGCAAAUCAGACCACGGUCUUUGUAGUUACACCGUGACCUGUUAUACAUUAAGUUUUUUAACAGUCUUUAUUUUUAUCAGCUGAGAGUAUCGUGUUUUGGGCUUCCAUUCUGUUUAUGCAGCGUGUGAAUAAUUUAAAGAGCAGAAUUUCACUACUGCCAGCUCCCCGCUUAUUACAGACAGCAGCAGAGCAGACUUUGGAGCCGAUGUAAGAUAUUAUCGUCACACUCUUAGGUAUAAAUCUGAUUUAUAUUCAAAGCUGACAUUUCAUUGUUUUGUUUUCUCUUCAGCUGGGGCGUAGAGUCCUGCAGUACACGCAAACAUUAAUUACACACGGUAAAACGAAAACCAAUAAAGGAAUGCAGCAAAACAUAAUGAUUUUAAAGCGACUUGCCUUUGGCAGAUUAAACUCAUUUUUAGUUUCAGGAAAAAAAAAUCAUGUUCUGUAAAUAGAGUUUGCAG
Molecule: non-coding RNA, 1924 nt
Organism: Paramormyrops kingsleyae
Lineage: Eukaryota; Metazoa; Chordata; Actinopteri; Osteoglossiformes; Mormyridae
Source: RefSeq, a predicted model, not a curated record